This 23-nucleotide small nuclear RNA is filed under the name Arabidopsis thaliana (thale cress). RNAcentral's name for it is "snRNA_13233". Lineage: Eukaryota; Viridiplantae; Streptophyta; Magnoliopsida; Brassicales; Brassicaceae. The record is from RNAcentral.
UACCCAAUGGGUUUUAACCCAUU